GAUGAACGCUGGCGGCGUGCCUAAUACAUGCAAGUCGAGCGAACGGACGAGAAGCUUGCUUCUCUGAUGUUAGCGGCGGACGGGUGAGUAACACGUGGAUAACCUACCUAUAAGACUGGGAUAACUUCGGGAAACCGUAGCUAAUACCGGAUAAUAUUUUGAACCGCAUGGUUCAAAAGUGAAAGACGGUCUUGCUGUCACUUACAGAUGGAUCCGCGCUGCAUUAGCUAGUUGGUAAGGUAACGGCUUACCAAGGCAACGAUGCAUAGCCGACCUGAGAGGGUGAUCGGCCACACUGGAACUGAGACACGGUCCAGACUCCUACGGGAGGCAGCAGUAGGGAAUCUUCCGCAAUGGGCGAAAGCCUGACGGAGCAACGCCGCGUGAGUGAUGAAGGUCUUCGGAUCGUAAAACUCUGUUAUUAGGGAAGAACAUAUGUGUAAGUAACUGUGCACAUCUUGACGGUACCUAAUCAGAAAGCCACGGCUAACUACGUG
Molecule: ribosomal RNA, 497 nt
Filed under: uncultured bacterium
Lineage: Bacteria
Description: partial 16S ribosomal RNA
Rfam family: Bacterial small subunit ribosomal RNA
Source: RNAcentral